RNAcentral lists this ribosomal RNA (514 nucleotides) under uncultured Polaribacter sp. RNAcentral describes it as "bacterial SSU rRNA". It matches the Rfam family "Bacterial small subunit ribosomal RNA", at positions 76 to 588 of the family's 1533-position model. The record is from RNAcentral. Lineage: Bacteria; Pseudomonadati; Bacteroidota; Flavobacteriia; Flavobacteriales; Flavobacteriaceae.
GUGCUUGCACAGAUGACGACCGGCGCACGGGUGCGUAACGCGUAUAGAACCUACCUUUUACAGAGGAAUAGCCUUUAGAAAUGAAGAUUAAUGCCUCAUAGUAUUGUAGACUGGCAUCAGUUUAUAAUUAAAGAUUUAUCGGUAAAAGAUGGCUAUGCGUCCUAUUAGUUAGUUGGUAAGGUAACGGCUUACCAAGACAGCGAUAGGUAGGGGUCCUGAGAGGGAGAUCCCCCACACUGGUACUGAGACACGGACCAGACUCCUACGGGAGGCAGCAGUGAGGAAUAUUGGACAAUGGAGGAGACUCUGAUCCAGCCAUGCCGCGUGUAGGAAGAAUGCCCUAUGGGUUGUAAACUACUUUUAUACAGGAAGAAACACUGGUAUGUAUACCAGCUUGACGGUACUGUAAGAAUAAGGACCGGCUAACUCCGUGCCAGCAGCCGCGGUAAUACGGAGGGUCCGAGCGUUAUCCGGAAUCAUUGGGUUUAAAGGGUCCGCAGGCGGUCGAUUAAGU